Small nucleolar RNA from Ornithorhynchus anatinus (platypus), 138 nucleotides. Lineage: Eukaryota; Metazoa; Chordata; Mammalia; Monotremata; Ornithorhynchidae. The record is from RefSeq and is a predicted model, not a curated record.
CACCUCUCAGGGUUGCACCUGGAGAGUUUCCAGUACUCUAUCAUUCUCGACUAUGGGAGGAGGAGUCAAGCAAAGACAUAUCCAUUCCAUUCCUAGCUUGGGUAGUGGCUAGUGAGUGGAAGGCAAUCUGCUACAAGU